AAAUUGAAGAGUUUGAUCAUGGCUCAGAUUGAACGCUGGCGGCAGGCCUAACACAUGCAAGUCGAACGGUAACAGAAAGCAGCUUGCUGCUUUGCUGACGAGUGGCGGACGGGUGAGUAAUGUCUGGGAAACUGCCUGAUGGAGGGGGAUAACUACUGGAAACGGUAGCUAAUACCGCAUAACGUCGCAAGACCAAAGAGGGGGACCUUCGGGCCUCUUGCCAUCGGAUGUGCCCAGAUGGGAUUAGCUAGUAGGUGGGGUAACGGCUCACCUAGGCGACGAUCCCUAGCUGGUCUGAGAGGAUGACCAGCCACACUGGAACUGAGACACGGUCCAGACUCCUACGGGAGGCAGCAGUGGGGAAUAUUGCACAAUGGGCGCAAGCCUGAUG
This 391-nucleotide ribosomal RNA is filed under the name Escherichia coli. RNAcentral's name for it is "bacterial SSU rRNA". It matches the Rfam family "Bacterial small subunit ribosomal RNA", at positions 1 to 388 of the family's 1533-position model. Lineage: Bacteria; Pseudomonadati; Pseudomonadota; Gammaproteobacteria; Enterobacterales; Enterobacteriaceae. The record is from RNAcentral.